Molecule: transfer RNA, 75 nt
Filed under: Enterocloster aldenensis
Lineage: Bacteria; Bacillati; Bacillota; Clostridia; Lachnospirales; Lachnospiraceae
Also listed under: 1 other name
Description: tRNA-Lys(ctt)
Rfam family: tRNA
About the family: Transfer RNA (tRNA) molecules are approximately 80 nucleotides in length.
Source: RNAcentral
UGCGCCUUUAGCUCAGUUGGUAGAGCAGUAGACUCUUAAUCUAUUUGUCCAGGGUUCGAGUCCCUGAAGGCGCAU